This 253-nucleotide ribosomal RNA is filed under the name uncultured bacterium. RNAcentral's name for it is "partial 16S ribosomal RNA". It matches the Rfam family "Bacterial small subunit ribosomal RNA", at positions 524 to 776 of the family's 1533-position model. The record is from RNAcentral.
UACAGAGGUCUCAAGCGUUGUUCGGAUUCAUUGGGCGUAAAGGGUGCGUAGGUGGCGGGGUUAGUCAGGUGUGAAAUCUCGGGGCUCAACCCCGAAACUGCACUUGAUACUGCCUUGCUAGAGUACUGGAGAGGAGAUUGGAAUUUACGGUGUAGCAGUGAAAUGCGUAGAUAUCGUAAGGAAGACCAGUGGCGAAGGCGAAUCUCUGGACAGUUACUGACACUGAGGCUCGAAGGCCAGGGGAGCAAACGGG